UACGUAGGGGGCAAGCGUUGUCCGGAAUCAUUGGGCGUAAAGCGCGUGUAGGCGGCCCGAUAAGUCCGCUGUGAAAGUCCAGGGCUCAACCCUGGAAUGCCGGUGGAUACUGUCGGGCUCGAGUCCGGAAGAGGCGAGUGGAAUUCCUGGUGUAGCGGUGAAAUGCGCAGAUAUCAGGAGGAACACCAAUGGCGAAGGCAGCUCGCUGGGACGGUACUGACGCUGAGACGCGAAAGCGUGGGGGGGCAAACAGG
This 254-nucleotide ribosomal RNA is filed under the name uncultured bacterium. RNAcentral's name for it is "partial 16S ribosomal RNA". It matches the Rfam family "Bacterial small subunit ribosomal RNA", at positions 524 to 776 of the family's 1533-position model. The record is from RNAcentral.